This is a long non-coding RNA of Mustela erminea (ermine), 72 nucleotides long. RefSeq lists it as uncharacterized. The transcript has 3 exons. The record is from RefSeq and is a predicted model, not a curated record. Lineage: Eukaryota; Metazoa; Chordata; Mammalia; Carnivora; Mustelidae.
AUGUGUAUAUAUAUAGAGAGAUUUAUUAUAAGGUAUUGGCUUACACUAUUAUGGAGGCUGAAAAGUCCUAAU